CGUUUAUGCUUUUUAACCAAAAUGAGGGGGUGGCGGGCCCCUCGGACCCCUACCCUGGAUCUGCCACAGGUGAUACAGGUUCCAUUUAUCACUUUUAGUUUUAGUGGAUGCCAGAAGCUAUAAUAUCCAUUUCCCUAUUGAAUAAGUGUGUAGAAGAGCUGUAAACGAACCAUUUAUUUACAAACUUUUAUCAUUUAUGCACUCGUUUCACCGUUUAAAAAGAGCUGAAUGAAGCAAAAGUAAUAAUAAUAAUAAUAAUAAUAAUAUAAAUGAUAAUAAAUAGGGUUUGGUAUAGGUCGUUCUUUAGGGAACUUAAUUAACAUACAAUUAACUUGUCGGGAUUGUGGUUAAAUGGGUUGUCAGACCUAAAUUACGAUUCUUGUUGCAAAAAUAAAGUUUUCAAUUCAUGAAGCUAUUAACUCAUCGAACGAAUGCUGUUUACACUAAUUCAGGAUUCAAACGGCGGACAUAAGAAAUAAUUGGUGAUACUGUAACCUAAAAAUGACCGUUGUUUAACGUCUCGAUGUUUUCUUAAACAUAAUCAUCUAGAAAAUAUUCAUUAAGGUCGUGUUAAGGGACAAAAUAUCAAAUUAACAUAAUGUUAGCAUUCAUGGGUUCGUGGUUUUGAUAGUUUUCUUACGGAUUUGAUCACUUUGGACGAUAACUGACGGGCGCAGUUCUAUAAUAAAUAAUAUAUAAUUCAAGUCAAUCAAAUUUACUACGACAUACUCUGAAAGUGUUCUUUCAUUGUGCUCUUCGCACCAGUGAAUUUAAGUAUGAGAACGCUGACGGUAAUCACAUUCUUAACUAAAUUUAAAAAGCUUCAAACGUGUCACGCUCUUGCAAGUAACGCAUGCCUUGUUUAGUUGACGAGCAAUCACGCAUUCGUUCUCAUGUUGACUUGCUACUUAGGAAUAAUAUUUCAGUAUAUGUUGGUACUUAGAAGAAAGGUAAAGUCAGAACAAUUAUUAUGGAAGAUAAUUCAACAGGCAAUCAAGUUCUUGAAGACGCUGGAAAUCAAAUCAGAGAAGCCUGCGAGGUAUUACAAAGAGAAGCAACAAGGCUUCGCCAGGAGCAGAAAGCCAUCGACGCCAUGUCGAAAAAAAUAGAGCACGUUCAUCUCUCGUCGACUGUUAACCUCAAUGUUGGCGGCCGCCGUUUUACGACAAGUCUUCAAACAUUGACAAAAGAUCCAGACUCGAUAUUGGCUGCCAUGUUUUCUGGGAAGUUCGACGUAAAACCAUCAGAAGACGGAGCUUUCUUUAUCGACCGAGACGGAAAACACUUCCGGUUCAUACUUAAUUAUCUUCGUACAGGGAAAUUAACUUUGCCAGAUGGAGCAACAUUUCGAAAGGAACUUGCAGAAGAAGCUGAGUUCUAUCAGAUCCAAGGGAUACUGGACGAAUUAGUGCCUAAAGCGCCGAAGAAUUUCGAAGAAUCAGUCAUUCUGACGAAUGAAGAGCACCGAAGUGUGUUAAGUGGUUGGUUGCCUCCACAAGAAGGCAAAUGGAAGCUUCUGAUGUGAGCUUCUCAAGAUGGCUUUGCAGCUCAAACCUUCCAUUCCAAAUGUGACAAUAAAGGGCCCACUGUCACUAUUGUGAAGAGUGGAAAUCACAUUUUUGGAGGAUUCACUGAAAAAUCUUGGGGCAGUCAGGAUGACUUCUUGCUAUGCACACAGUCAUUCGUGUUUAGCAUGGUGAACCCCCACAGAGUAACUGCGUGUAAACUGCCACUCGUCAACGAUCAGGAAGACGCCAUUUACUGUGACAGCUACCAUGGACCAACAUUUGGAGGAGGAAAGGGUUUAAAAAGACAUCAACAACAACGAAAGCCAUAGAAGUUUCCCGGCAAACUAGGACAGGGCAGUGGAGACAAUUACCAUUUGGGUAACGGGAUAAAGAGAUACGAUGGUGUGUUAGAGCGCUUGGCCCUCGAUCGAGGGUGCAAGUUUCGAGCCCCAGAAUGACGAGUACCUCGACCUAAAAGCGUCUAACCCGUCACGCUAUCGUGAAUAGCACAUCCACGCUUUCAUUCGAAGUUUUCAACCCCGCAUGCUUCUGUGAAACAACAUUUUACGAUUUGUUGGUACUCAGAGGAAAGGUAACGUAAAAAAAGUUCUUAUGGAAAAUAAUUCAACUGGCAAUCAAGUUCUUGAAGAUGCUGAAAGUCAAAUGAGAGAAGCUUGCGUAAUAUUACAACGAGAAGCAACAAGGCUUCGCCACGAGCAAGAAACCAUCGACGCUAUGUCGAAAAAAAUAGAGCACUUUCAUCUCUCUUCGAUUCUCAACCUCAAUGUUGACGGCCUUCGUUUCACGACAAGUCUUCAAACGCUGACACUGAAAAGACCCAGGCUCGAUGUUGGCUGCCGUUUUCUGUGGGAAGUUAAAAAUGAAACCAUCGGAAGACGGAGCUUUCUUUAUCGACCGAGAUGGGAAACACUGACUUCCGGUUCAUACUUAAUCAUCUUCGUACAGGGUUAUUAACUUUGCCAAGGGAGCAACAUUUUUGGAUAAACUUGCCGAGGAGGCUGAGUUUUACCAGAUCCAAGGGACACUGGACGAGUUAGUACCUAAAGUGCCGAGGCG
This is a long non-coding RNA of Stylophora pistillata, 2585 nucleotides long. The record is from RefSeq and is a predicted model, not a curated record. Lineage: Eukaryota; Metazoa; Cnidaria; Anthozoa; Scleractinia; Pocilloporidae.